This 130-nucleotide small RNA is filed under the name Flavobacterium branchiophilum. RNAcentral describes it as "Flavo-1 RNA". It matches the Rfam family "Flavo-1 RNA". The record is from RNAcentral. Lineage: Bacteria; Pseudomonadati; Bacteroidota; Flavobacteriia; Flavobacteriales; Flavobacteriaceae.
UUGCGUUAGGGAUAGUAGUGGAAAUCCUUUUUUGGUUAUUGGUUAUUGGUUGGUAGUUGGUGGUGUUUUACAUUGUAUUUCUUAUGAAAAUAAAAACCAAAAAAGAUUGCAACGGAUAGCCCGACCCUUG